GCUUAUUUCCCACUUAUUGGUGGAAAUAAGCGAUAAACCCACCCAAACGCCUUGCUUAUUCCCCGCUUAUCAGGUAAGCCGCUUAGUGGAAAAUCUGAAAUACAACUAGCACCCAGCUUAUCUCAUACGCGGGUCAGACCACGCUUCUGGGGCAAGCGGAGCAAUUUUCCCCCGGAUACCCUCGGGCAACGGUCUCCAGGCGACGGCCGCCGCUCCUCCCGCAACCGC
RNAcentral lists this long non-coding RNA (228 nucleotides) under Setaria viridis. Its description in RNAcentral is "long non-coding RNA (SVIR_LNC003263)". The record is from RNAcentral. Lineage: Eukaryota; Viridiplantae; Streptophyta; Magnoliopsida; Poales; Poaceae.